UUCUUAGUCACGAUUUAUCUUUUUUAUUGAUCACGUAUUAUUUAUUUUGUUUAUUGAUUACAGAUUAACCAAUUCACUCGUCACAAUCGAUCACAUAACCUGUGACCACCACUUCCAACAGCACUACCACCACCGCGACUACCACGACACUGGUCACAAAUUAUCCAAUAAACAAAUUGUGAGUAACAAUCAAAGUCACAAUUUUCAUCGCCAUCCCCGUCGCCCGUCACACACCAACACCACGAUUCAUUGAUUCCGCAACGACUCACAGACUCCACAACAGAUCCAUCUCCAUCAUUUCAACCAAGCCAGCGUGCUCAGGCCCAUCACACCACAACCACCACCCAACAAAAAACCCCCAAAACCUGCCACCAUCUCACCUCCCGUAGCCACCAAAUCCACCACCAUCCCCAUCACGCCAACGCCACCAGAUCGCACCAAUGGAGGGACAACAGAUUGCACCACCGCCACAGAUUGAGCCAUUGCCACAGAGGUCGCACCACCGCCACAAAUCGAGCCAUCGCGACAGCGAUGUGGAGCGAUGGUGGUGGCACAAGGCGGGGGUGACACAUCGCUGCUGCUGCAACUCGCCACCAGAUCUCGUCAUUCACGGUCAGACUAUACCUUUCGCUGUGACGAGCUCUUAGCAACCUCCAAUGCCAGCAACGUCGGUCGGAGAAAGCUGACCCAUCGUCAAUCGCCGGAGUUUUUCAAUGAGUCGUCGGCAUUCGCUGAGAGAUUGGAGAGCAGUUUCCCAUUGCUCCGGUUGUGUGAGACUGUGAGAGAAUAUUGGAAAGGAAUUAUAGGGUUUGAAAUAUUAAUAGGUUGAAUUAAUUAAUUUUUAUAUGAAUUUAUUAAUUAACAAAAAGUUCUGAUCUUUAAAAGAUUAAACUACAAAUCUGGUUUUAGAAUUUAGGAUUUUAAUACAAGCGAUCUCUGUAAUUACCACUUUAAUCAUUGUUUGAGCCCAUAAUGGGAUGGGCUCCCUUUUUAUUAACACUCUCACUCCACUUAAUAUAGGAUUGGCCCAUUGAGUUCUAUAUAUAUAUUUUUUGGCCCUUUCUCCUCUCCAUCUUAAGGCAAGUAGAAUGAUUGGUUUCUAGGGUUUGAAGGGGAGUAGAGAGUAGUUUUCUCCAUAGCAAAUUUCUUCAUUUUGCAGCCUAAAGAAUACAUGGAAAGUCAAUCACAAGCUAUUGGAGGUAUGUUUUUUUGUUAUUGUUGAACACAUGCUAUAACUAUGGCAAGGGAUUAUCAAAUCCAUUGAAGUUUUAACAAUUUUAUCAUUUUCCAACAAAAUCAGAUUGCUUUUUGUUGGAAAAUGCUGGCAUUUUGUAUGCACACCUUAGCACAAGGUUAUUUCUUGUUGACCGUGAAGAAUAAUUCUACUUGUACAUAAGGAGUUAUAUAAUAGUUUAUAUAUAGAUGAGGUGUGGAAAAGAGAGAGUGAAAGUUCUCUCUCUCUCUCUCUCUCUCUCUCUUUUAAUUUGGUUGAAGAAAUUUUGGUUUAAUCAUAUCUCACCACAUCAUGUGUGUGUAGUUUUGUUGUACAUACGAGUUUAGAGUUACCUUGCUUUUACUAACAAAUUAGAACAGCUGUACACAGAAUCACUUGGUCAAAUGGAGAGGUAAUCCACUUUUUGUCUUGUAUCUUUUAGAACUUUUUUGCAUAGUUUUCUGUACUUAUUACAGUAAUAAAUACUGGGUUUACAAUAUUAAUUCAUCAGCAAAGUUUCUUCUCAUUCAUGUUGCACUUGUUCGUUGAAUAAUUGUUAGUUUGUAUUGAUUUCUUAGUUGAAUGGUUGUGUUCCGGUCAUCAUUGGGUGCAAUUACUAAUUAACAUGUUUUUAUGCAUAGGCUUUCUUAAGAAAGGAUCUAAACAACAAAGACAACCCAUUAAUGUGCAUGCCUGAGCUUUGUGCGCGCGCAUACAUUGUCUCAUGCAUGCACACUCAAAUGAUCUUGAUUUGAGAAAAUGUUAUUGGAAUCAUCAUCAAGAGGAUCAAAGAAAAUAUAGAUAUGGGAUCCAUCUUGGACUCCAUACACAGUGAGAGAGACGUCAUUUUUAUCCAUGAGGCAUUUAGGAUUAUCGUCAAGCAUCAGAAUGACUUCUUGAAUUCCUCUCUCUCUCUCUCUCUCGAGAUCUGCUACUGUGGCAUUGUCUUCUUCUUGUAUGUAGAAUAGUUUUCCUGUCAUUAUAUCUGCUACCUGUUUCAUUUUUCAGGAAAGCUGCUAAUCUCUUCCGUGCAGAUUCAUUUCUGCACAGCUGCUCAUUGUAUUU
This is a long non-coding RNA of Olea europaea var. sylvestris, 2278 nucleotides long. RefSeq lists it as uncharacterized. The record is from RefSeq and is a predicted model, not a curated record. Lineage: Eukaryota; Viridiplantae; Streptophyta; Magnoliopsida; Lamiales; Oleaceae. The transcript has 2 exons.